Molecule: RNA transcript, 1084 nt
Organism: Rhinopithecus roxellana (golden snub-nosed monkey)
Lineage: Eukaryota; Metazoa; Chordata; Mammalia; Primates; Cercopithecidae
Gene name: Golgi apparatus membrane protein TVP23 homolog B pseudogene
Exons: 1
Source: RefSeq, a predicted model, not a curated record
CUGGCCUGCUAGAGAUUCUUUAAACCAUUGUUAGCACACUAAGCUCUUGGAGAUUGUGGUGUUACUGUGGAGAGGCUUGUGAAACAGGUGUUUUCGGUAAAAAUAGUUACAAUUGGGGCCGCCAUGUUGCAGCAGGAGUCAGUGCAGUCGUCUGUCUGCUCUGAGUUGCUCAGCAGCAGCUUUAUUACCUGUAUGGUGACAAUUAUCUCGUUGUCGUGUGACUUUUGGGCAGUGAAGAAUGUCACAGGUAGACUAAUGGUUGGCCUACGUUGGUGGAAUCACAUUGAUGAAGAGGGAAAGAGCCACUGGGUAUUUGAAUCUAGAAAGGAGUCCUCUCAGGAGAAUAAAACUGUGUCAGAGGGUGACUCAAGAGUCUUUUGGUUGGGACUUACUGCCUAUCCAGUGCUGUGGGUGAUAUUUGCCUUUAGUGCACUCUUCUCCUUCAGAGUAAAGUGGUUGGUGGUGGUUAUCAUGGGUGUGGUGCUACAAGGUGCCAACCUGUAUGGUUACAUCAGGUGUAAGGUGGGCAGCAGAAAGAAUUUAACCAGCAUGGCUACUUCAUAUUUUGGAAAGCAGUUCUUACGACAAAACACGAGAUGAUCAGACUUCCUGAAUAGAGAAAACUUAUGUGCUUUGUUACAUUGGGGAACAACUGAAGAGAUUCUUGACUCUGAACCUUUUAGAGCUUAGUCCAUGUUGCAACGAGGAGCGUUGGCUCUGUUUUUCCACUUAAAAGCUUUAUUUAUAAAAAGGAAAAGUAGUUUUCAUAUUAAGUUUUUAUUUUCUUUCCAGCAUUUGGGGCUAGAAAGUAUGUGCUGGCACUAGAAACAUUGUCAGGAUUUAUUCUGUGGUGUAGGUAUGCACAUGUUCCAUAGGUAUGCACACAGCCGUGGAAUAUCAGUAUAUCCCAAGUUAAUGAAAGUGGUCAUUUACAUAGGUAAUGGAGACCUUCACAUUUUGAUCCAUAAAACAUAGGAGGAUGUUCUUCGUCUGUCUCAAAGCUCUAUGUGUUUACAUAUUAUUUCUGUAGAUUAUUCUCAGGAGUAAAUUUUGCUUCCAUGGUAAGAGUGAGCCCUUUGGCUUA